RNAcentral lists this non-coding RNA (172 nucleotides) under Pseudomonas putida. The record is from RNAcentral. Lineage: Bacteria; Pseudomonadati; Pseudomonadota; Gammaproteobacteria; Pseudomonadales; Pseudomonadaceae.
CGGUUUCCACCACGGAACUAAUAGGGAAUCCCAGGCCCGCCAAUACGGGCCAAACGGAACUGCCCCCGCAACUGUAGGUGCCGAGCCUGCUCCAUCGAUGCCACUGGGCCAGACCGCCCGGGAAGGCCGGAGCCGGGCCAUGACGCACCAGUCAGGAGACCUGCCGGCCUAC